Molecule: ribosomal RNA, 459 nt
Filed under: uncultured bacterium
Lineage: Bacteria
Description: partial 16S ribosomal RNA
Rfam family: Bacterial small subunit ribosomal RNA
Source: RNAcentral
CCUACGGGGCGCUGCAGUGAGGAAUAUUGGUCAAUGGUCGGGAGACUGAACCAGCCAAGCCGCGUGAGGGAUGAAGGUACAGAGUAUCGUAAACCUCUUUUGUCAGUGAACAAAGGCGGGGACGCGUCCCCGGACGAGUGUACCUGAAGAAAAAGCAUCGGCUAACUCCGUGCCAGCAGCCGCGGUAAUACGGAGGAUGCGAGCGUUUGCCGGGUUUAUUGGGUUUAAAGGGUGGGUAGGCGGUAGGUCAAGUCAGCGGUAAAAGCCCGGUGCUCAACCCCGGCCCGCCGUUGAAACUGGCAGUCUCGAGUGGGAGAGAAGUAUGUGGAAUGCGCGGUGUAGCGGUGAAAUGCAUAGAUAUCGCGCAGAACUCCGAUUGCGAAGGCAGCAUGCCGGCUCCACACUGACGCUGAGGCACGAAAGCGUGGGUAUCGAACAGGAUUAGAUACCCUGGUAGUC